This 492-nucleotide ribosomal RNA is filed under the name uncultured bacterium. Its description in RNAcentral is "partial 16S ribosomal RNA". It matches the Rfam family "Bacterial small subunit ribosomal RNA", at positions 29 to 507 of the family's 1533-position model. The record is from RNAcentral.
AGUGAACGCUGGCGGUAGGCCUAACACAUGCAAGUCGAACGGCAGCACAGUAAGAGCUUGCUCUUACGGGUGGCGAGUGGCGGACGGGUGAGGAAUACAUCGGAAUCUACUUUUUCGUGGGGGAUAACGUAGGGAAACUUACGCUAAUACCGCAUACGACCUACGGGUGAAAGCAGGGGAUCUUCGGACCUUGCGCGAUUGAAUGAGCCGAUGUCGGAUUAGCUAGUUGGCGGGGUAAAGGCCCACCAAGGCGACGAUCCGUAGCUGGUCUGAGAGGAUGAUCAGCCAAACUGGAACUGAGACACGGUCCAGACUCCUACGGGAGGCAGCAGUGGGGAAUACUGGACAAUGGGCGCAAGCCUGAUCCAGCCAUACCGCGUGGGUGAAGAAGGCCUUCGGGUUGUAAAGCCCUUUUGUUGGGAAAGAAAAGCAGCAGGUUAAUACCCCGCUGUUCUGACGGUACCAAAAGAAUAAGCACCGGCUAACUUCGUG